CAGCUUGUUGGUGGGGUAAUGGCCUACCAAGGCGACGACGGGUAGCCGGCCUGAGAGGGUGGACGGCCACACUGGGACUGAGACACGGCCCAGACUCCUACGGGAGGCAGCAGUGGGGAAUAUUGCACAAUGGGCGCAAGCCUGAUGCAGCGACGCCGCGUGAGGGAUGAAGGCCUUCGGGUUGUAAACCUCUUUCAGUAGGGAAGAAGCGAAAGUGACGGUACCUGCAGAAGAAGCGCCGGCUAACUACGUGCCAGCAGCCGCGGUAAUACGUAGGGCGCAAGCGUUAUCCGGAAUUAUUGGGCGUAAAGAGCUCGUAGGCGGUUUGUCGCGUCUGCCGUGAAAGUCCGGGGCUUAACCCCGGAUCUGCGGUGGGUACGGGCAGACUUGAGUGAUGUAGGGGAGACUGGAAUUCCUGGUGUAGCGGUGAAAUGCGCAGAUAUCAGGAGGAACACCGAUGGCGAAGGCAGGUCUCUGGGCAUUAACUGACGCUGAGGAGCGAAAGCAUGGGGAGCGAACAGGAUUAGAUACCCUGGUAGUCCAUGCCGUAAACGUUGGGCACUAGGUGUGGGGGACAUUCCACGUUUUCCGCGCCGUAGCUAACGCAUUAAGUGCCCCGCCUGGGGAGUACGGCCGCAAGGCUAAAACUCAAAGGAAUUGACGGGGGCCCGCACAAGCGGCGGAGCAUGCGGAUUAAUUCGAUGCAACGCGAAGAACCUUACCAAGGCUUGACAUGAACCGGAACGGCGCAGAGAUGUGUCGGCCACUUGUGGCCGGUUUACAGGUGGUGCAUGGUUGUCGUCAGCUCGUGUCGUGAGAUGUUGGGUUAAGUCCCGCAACGAGCGCAACCCUCGUUCCAUGUUGCCAGCGGGUUAUGCCGGGGACUCAUGGGAGACUGCCGGGGUCAACUCGGAGGAAGGUGGGGACGACGUCAAAUCAUCAUGCCCCUUAUGUCUUGGGCUUCACGCAUGCUACAAUGGCCGGUACAAAGGGUUGCGAUGCUGUGAGGUGGAGCUAAUCCCAAAAAGCCGGUCUCAGUUCGGAUUGAGGUCUGCAACUCGACCUCAUGAAGUCGGAGUCGCUAGUAAUCGCAGAUCAGCAACGCUGCGGUGAAUACGUUCCCGGGCCUUGUACACACCGCCCGUCAAGUCACGAAAGUUGGUAACACCCGAAGCCGGUGGCCUAACCCGUAAGGGGGGAGCCGUCGAAGG
This 1211-nucleotide ribosomal RNA is filed under the name Arthrobacter sp. Its description in RNAcentral is "bacterial SSU rRNA". It matches the Rfam family "Bacterial small subunit ribosomal RNA", at positions 242 to 1462 of the family's 1533-position model. The record is from RNAcentral. Lineage: Bacteria; Bacillati; Actinomycetota; Actinomycetes; Micrococcales; Micrococcaceae.